GUUCUGUCCAUACAUGCUCCAAAGUUGAUGCUUGACUUUUAUCUAAGAAGGCCGAGAUGCAAAAUAUAUUGAUUUGGCAAGAAAUUACUCAAAGUGCAUCAGGUGAUAGAAAACAUUUUUUAUGAGAAUGGUAGAAGCUGAUUCGCAUGAUUUGUAAGGUUCCCAAAUUAGUGAACUAUAACAUGAGGGUUAAGGUAUUGGAGCCAUUAUUCAAUCGUUUGGAGCUGUUACACAAGGGUUUCACCUGUUAUUUCUCACCACAUGGACAUAUCUUGGCAACAUUGUUGUUUGUUGUUGCCCAUUGUUGCUAGUAGGAAAAGUAGCUCUUUUCUGUGACAUUGCAAGUAAAAGCCAAUGGAGGUUGAAGCUCUAGGAUGAGGUGAGAUGAAUUCAACUAAAAGAUUAAUCUAGUCUUUUAUGGCAGUUCCUCAGUGGUGCAAUAGCGUGUUUAGGUUGUUAUAACAAGAUUUUUUUUGUGCUUUGCCACAUUUGUCCUGAUUGAAUGAAUGAUGG
Molecule: unclassified non-coding RNA, 513 nt
Filed under: Hevea brasiliensis (rubber tree)
Lineage: Eukaryota; Viridiplantae; Streptophyta; Magnoliopsida; Malpighiales; Euphorbiaceae
Source: RNAcentral